CAGCCGCGGUAAUACGGAGGGUGCAAGCGUUAAUCGGAAUUACUGGGCGUAAAGCGCACGCAGGCGGUUUGUUAAGUCAGAUGUGAAAUCCCCGGGCUCAACCUGGGAACUGCAUCUGAUACUGGCAAGCUUGAGUCUCGUAGAGGGGGGUAGAAUUCUAGGUGUAGCGGUGAAAUGCGUAGAGAUCUGGAGGAAUACCGGUGGCGAAGGCGGCCCCCUGGACGAAGACUGACGCUCAGGUGCGAAAGCGUGGGGAGCAAACAGGAUUAGAUACCCUGGUAGUCCACGCCGUAAACGAUGUCGACUUGGAGGUUGUGCCCUUGAGGCGUGGCUUCCGGAGCUAACGCGUUAAGUCGACCGCCUGGGGAGUACGGCCGCAAGGUUAAAACUCAAAUGAAUUGACGGGGGCCCGCACAAGCGGUGGAGCAUGUGGUUUAAUUCGAUGCAACGCGAAGAACCUUACCUGGUCUUGACAUCCACGGAAGUUUUCAGAGAUGAGAAUGUGCCUUCGGGAACCGUGAGACAGGUGCUGCAUGGCUGUCGUCAGCUCGUGUUGUGAAAUGUUGGGUUAAGUCCCGCAACGAGCGCAACCCUUAUCCUUUGUUGCCAGCGGUCCGGCCGGGAACUCAAAGGAGACUGCCAGUGAUAAACUGGAGGAAGGUGGGGACGACGUCAAGUCAUCAUGGCCCUUACGACCAGGGCUACACACGUGCUACAAUGGCGCAUACAAAGAGAAGCGACCUCGCGAGAGCAAGCGGACCUCAUAAAGUGCGUCGUAGUCCGGAUUGGAGUCUGCAACUCGACUCCAUGAAGUCGGAAUCGCUAGUAAUCGUGGAUCAGAAUGCCACGGUGAAUACGUUCCCGGGCCUUGUACACACCGCCCGUCACACCAUGGGAGUGGGUUGCAAAAGAAGUAGGUAGCUUAACCUUCGGGAGGGCGCUUACCACUUUGUGAUUCAUGACUGGGGUGAAGUCGUAACAAGGUAACCGUAGGGGAACCUGCGGUUGGAUCACCUCCUUACCUUAAAGAAGC
Molecule: ribosomal RNA, 1033 nt
Filed under: Shigella boydii
Lineage: Bacteria; Pseudomonadati; Pseudomonadota; Gammaproteobacteria; Enterobacterales; Enterobacteriaceae
Description: bacterial SSU rRNA
Rfam family: Bacterial small subunit ribosomal RNA
Source: RNAcentral